GCCUUAUAUAGAAAGCACCUCUAUACAAUCUAAUCCGAAUAUUGAGAAUAACAACUCUGUGCCAUCUACGCAUAUAAUAGGACCAUACUUUUUGCAGCCAACAGGCCAAGUGUGCUAUUUUCUGCUUUUACAAGCAAUCAACCGUUUGAUUUGAUACUUCUUUUAUUACAUCUGGCUCCUCCUUGAAUCCGAGGAAAAAAAAGAUCUGGUUUGAUGUUAGCAUUUAGGGUAGGCUGUCAAGUGAUAUGAGCUUUACACUUUUGCUGUUAGGCUGGAAGGUAUACGUUUUAGUUGUAUAAAAUGCGAUCCCAGGCUAUAUUCCUUCACCU
This 329-nucleotide unclassified non-coding RNA is filed under the name Hevea brasiliensis (rubber tree). The record is from RNAcentral. Lineage: Eukaryota; Viridiplantae; Streptophyta; Magnoliopsida; Malpighiales; Euphorbiaceae.